ACUGGUUAUAGGGAUGACAUACUUGCCCUCACUGACAUGAUAGUUUGGUGAUGAGAAUCUCGCUCUUUAUACUCAUCAGU
This is a small nucleolar RNA of Loxodonta africana (African savanna elephant), 80 nucleotides long. Ensembl annotates it as small nucleolar RNA SNORD103/SNORD85. Lineage: Eukaryota; Metazoa; Chordata; Mammalia; Proboscidea; Elephantidae. The record is from Ensembl.